Molecule: ribosomal RNA, 433 nt
Filed under: uncultured bacterium
Lineage: Bacteria
Description: partial 16S ribosomal RNA
Rfam family: Bacterial small subunit ribosomal RNA
Source: RNAcentral
AACGAACGCUGGCGGCAUGCCUAACACAUGCAAGUCGAACGAGACCUUCGGGUCUAGUGGCGCACGGGUGCGUAACGCGUGGGAACCUGCCCUUAGGUUCGGAAUAACUCCCCGAAAGGGGUGCUAAUACCGGAUAAUGUCUUCGGACCAAAGAUUUAUCGCCUUUGGAUGGGCCCGCGUUGGAUUAGCUAGUUGGUAGGGUAAAAGCCUACCAAGGCGACGAUCCAUAGCUGGUCUGAGAGGAUGAUCAGCCACACUGGGACUGAGACACGGCCCAGACUCCUACGGGAGGCAGCAGUGGGGAAUAUUGGACAAUGGGCGAAGGCCUGAUCCAGCAAUGCCGCGUGAGUGAUGAAGGCCUUAGGGUUGUAAAGCUCUUUUACACGGGAUGAUAAUGACAGUACCGGGAGAAUAAGCUCCGGCUAACUCCGUG